Long non-coding RNA from Leopardus geoffroyi (Geoffroy's cat), 731 nucleotides. RefSeq lists it as uncharacterized. The record is from RefSeq and is a predicted model, not a curated record. The transcript is spliced from 2 exons. NCBI's taxonomy places the organism in Eukaryota, Metazoa, Chordata, Mammalia, Carnivora, Felidae.
CCCCUCCCCAUCCCCCCCCCCCACACACACACACACUUGUGCCAGGGACUGAGCGGUCCUGCCCUAUGAGGUUGGCUUUGAGACUACAUGAGAUUAGACAGACACAUGGGGAGAAGGGCUGGCUUCAUGACACAAGUCUGGUCGAUGAGACAAAGGCGAUGUCUGCUGAGGGUUCUCAGAAAAGAUUUGCCUUGUCCUCUUCUUCUGGUCUUGAACCUAGAUGUGCUGGCUGAAGGUACCACCUUAGGCAGUAUGUCAACAGGCUACAAAGAAUGACAUUGUUGAGUCACUGCCCCAGACUUAAACUGCCUCCCUCUGAGCUGCUUAUUAUAUGAGAAGAUAGCUGGAUUUUCUGUUACAUGCGGCUGACAUUGGUCAUUUGUUUUGGCCAUUAGGCAUCUGAACCCCUCUGUUUUUGGAGGAUUCCCUGCACUGUACCUUAUCACGAAGGGCAAAGACUGGUCCCCAUACCAGUUGGAGCUAAAACUGCCAGAUAAUUGCAUUCAAAGCCUCUCCUGCAGCUAGCGCAUAGCCCUGUGACCCAGCCACCACCAAUUAGCCUCAGAACUGCUACCAACCGAGUGUGGGAGUCUUCUGAGAUACAGCAGCUGCACACAUUUUCAGAGCUCCCGCGUGUAGAAGUGUGAUGGCCAUUUUGAAUGUCACCUUAAUUUCAACAGUGAUUGCACUGUUCUUCAACAUGGAUAAAAUAUGUAAUUCUAAGAGUCCUA